AAUAAGUGCAGUUUUAUAAUAUUCACGUUUAACGUUUGACCAUUUGUUUUAUUUAAAAAUUUUUUAUGAUUAGUAUUUUUAUUGCUAUUAGAUGAUAAAACAUGAAUAAUACUUUAUGUGUGACUAAAUAUUUUCAAAUUUUUCAAAAAAUUUUUAAAUAAGACGGACGAUCAAACGUUGGGCACGGAUAUCCACGGCUACACUUAUU
This is a microRNA precursor of Oryza sativa Japonica Group (Japanese rice), 208 nucleotides long. It matches the Rfam family "MIR812 microRNA precursor family". NCBI's taxonomy places the organism in Eukaryota, Viridiplantae, Streptophyta, Magnoliopsida, Poales, Poaceae. The record is from Rfam.